This 57-nucleotide long non-coding RNA is filed under the name Drosophila guanche. It matches the Rfam family "Bithoraxoid conserved region 5". Rfam says of the family: Bithoraxoid (bxd) is a long non-coding RNA found in Drosophila. It silences the expression of the Ultrabithorax (Ubx) gene by transcriptional interference. The record is from RNAcentral. Lineage: Eukaryota; Metazoa; Arthropoda; Insecta; Diptera; Drosophilidae.
GACCCAUCCAACCAGUUCGACGAAGCGAACUCCGAACUUAAUCGAAACAUCAAGGGA